GAGCCCUUUUCUACUUUGCCUGCAUGGGUCGCAGAUCUGGAUAACCAUUUUGAUGCAAGGUUACAGGAGCUGACUGAAGCAAAGCUUGCUAAAUUUAGAGUGGCUCUAGAAAAGGUAAAGCUGAGAUAGUGGUAGUACAACAAUACCAGUUUAUGAUGCCUGCAGGGCAGACAACUAAGGAAUUUGAGGAUGAACCUUCAAUCUUUGAUCUUACUGCGGAGCCAGUGAAAAAAAAAGAAGAA
This 242-nucleotide long non-coding RNA is filed under the name Capsicum annuum. RNAcentral describes it as "long non-coding RNA (CANN_LNC010288)". Lineage: Eukaryota; Viridiplantae; Streptophyta; Magnoliopsida; Solanales; Solanaceae. The record is from RNAcentral.